This 23-nucleotide unclassified non-coding RNA is filed under the name Mus musculus (house mouse). RNAcentral describes it as "oocyte_clustered_small_RNA1580". Lineage: Eukaryota; Metazoa; Chordata; Mammalia; Rodentia; Muridae. The record is from RNAcentral.
UCGUAUCCGUUGUUACGUCAGAG